CUACUGAACAAGGAAAUAAAACAUACCAAUGCUUUGAGAAACAAGAUGACAUUUCAGAAAAGAAAGAGUGACUCCAAUUCAUCUUGAAUCUGACUUUCUGAGGCAGAUUCCUUUCUCCUUCCUCCUCUGUAUUCUUCUCUUGCUACGAGGUACCCUAUUUUGCUGCUGAGAAAACUGAGGUCCACAAAGGUAGCGUCUGCCAAGAUACUCCUGACACAAUUCAAAGCUCAGCAGAGUACGCGACAUUGCUCGUUUGAAUGUUCGCUUAGAACCAUUAGAUGUCUGAACUGUGAGGGAAUAUCUAGUCCAACCCCUCCCACUUUAAAGAAGAGGAAGCUGAGGCCGCUAGAAGGUCCCUGCUCACUAGCCCCAGGGAGACACCCACACUUUAACCCCCUCGCCCGUCCCUCACGCUUGUCCCCUACGCAACAGAGAACUGCAACUAAGAAACUGGACUCACCUCGCGGAUCUCAGCUGAACAAAAGAUACAUAAGGCCAAGAGCCAUAUGGAGUCGCGCCUGCGCAGGUGUACCUUACAAACUACGAUUCCCAGAAUUCUUUAAAACUGCGUCAUUUUCUGAUCUCAGAAAGUUUUCUGGUCUCAGAAAGUUUCCUGAGGGGUCCGCUACCGUUUGGUUCCCCCUUCUUCUCCCCCCCCGCCCCCCCCCCCCCNNNNNNNNUACAGAAUAGAAGGGAAAUUCUAAUUUUUCACGUUAAGUCGAUGUGCAAUAGAAUGACAACAAAAACCUCAAUAGUAUGGAAUUUAACCGCCAUCCUUAUACGCGACAAUAGUUUAAAGGUUAAGAAAAAAUUUUUUUUAAUACGAUUAGUAUGUAAGGGUGGGGUGGAGGAGUUUGUAUAUCUACGCAGAAGGGCAAGAGACGGAGAGACAGUGGGAGAGAGAGAGAAUGAAUCAGUAAGAAAAAAUAACAUGGAGAAAGAUGAGGAAAGGAGAAGCUGAGAAUAUGAGAACUUGUACAAUGUAUAUUUUAUUUAUGUUAUGUACAGAAUAGAAGGGAAAUUCUAAUUUUUCACGUUAAGUCGAUGUGCAAUAGAAUGACAACAAAACCCCAACAAAUUUUGGAUACAGGCAGACAUCUUUAUUUUAGAAUUUAAUUUUAAAUUUAUUUCAGAUUAAAAAUCCAUCAACAAUCAUUUAUUAAAUGCCUUUUCUAGGCUAAGUACCUUUAUUAGAAGGGGAUUCAAUGAUAAAGACGAAACAAAACCCCUAAUAUAAACAGUUUAUAGUCAAGCAAUACAUUACCAUAUUGACCUUGACGAAAAGGAAAAACACACAUACACACACCCAAAUGUAUAAAUGGGCAGAAUGUUUCUUCAUUAGAUCUCUAGAAGCCUGGCUGUUGCUGGUCAGAAUUCCUAAGCCUUUUAAAGUUGCUUGUCUUUACCAUAUCAUUAUAUAAAUUGUUAUCCUGGCUCUAUUUGCUUUAUUCUUCAUCAGUUCACAGCAUACUCACCCAGCUGUCUCUGAAAUCAUCCCUUUCAUCAUUUUGUGGAAAUGAACUUAUUCCGCUACUCUUUCAGCAGAGAAUCCUGUUUUUAGAAGAGACUUUAGACUGACCAGUCACAGGUCUGAGCCAAAGAUCAAAGUUUUGCUCUUGCCCGCUUCCUCUAAUUGCUCAAGUCACUAAUCUUUGUUUCUGAAUUUAGUUCAUAAUUGAACUGGUCUGUAAUGGGUUAAAUUGAGAAAUCCAGCUCUUCUGCUAAUAAUAUGCAUUGAGUUUGGAGGGCUGCUUGCUAUCCAAAAGUCUGAGUCAUUAUCUGGCACCUGAACUCUAACAAUGAGUCCUGUGGGAAAGAGGGAGAUUCUUUGCUAGCACCCAAUCACCAAGCUUCUAAUCAAUCAUGCCAGUUGUUAUGCCUCAAGUCUGUAAAACAAUCAUUUUGGACAUAAACCCAUGAUGUCAUUCACCCAGCUCUGUUCUUUGUGUGCUCCCCUCUCUCCCCAUUCCCUUUGUGAGUUUUGUCCUGUGCAGUUACAGGCAUUGUGUACUUUGGUAUGACAGUUGCUGCAGUGUCAUAAUGUGUGCAUUCUUUGGUCCUGUCCAAUUAAAGAUGCAAUUUAUAGACUUUGACUCCUCUGAUUUAUUUAUUCUGAGUCAUAGAUCUGUUUUAAUUAGACCUUGAACCCUCUGGUCUAAGUCAGAAGUCCUAACUCCUCUGGUUAAUCUGUUCUGAGAUGGAGGUCCUGGCUCCUCUAUUCUAGGUUAGAGGUCAACAAUUUCUUACUUGACAAUAGUAUUAUGUCACAUUUAUAUACUAUAACUUGUUCAGCCAUUUCCCAAUUGAUAGACAUCUCAAAUUCCUCUUAUUUGCCACCUAAAAAAGAAUUACACAUUUUUUUAACAUCCUAAAAGUUUGUUUUACUUAGGACUAAUUUUGUUAAUCUACCCUCUUUCUUCGAUUGUCCUCUUAUUUCCCAAUAAAGUGAAAUAUAUUUCUAUACUCA
This is a long non-coding RNA of Monodelphis domestica (gray short-tailed opossum), 2467 nucleotides long. The record is from Ensembl. Lineage: Eukaryota; Metazoa; Chordata; Mammalia; Didelphimorphia; Didelphidae.